AUUGAACGCUGGCGGCAUGCCUUACACAUGCAAGUCGAACGGCAGCACGGGUGCUUGCACCUGGUGGCGAGUGGCGAACGGGUGAGUAAUACAUCGGAACAUGUCCUGUAGUGGGGGAUAGCCCGGCGAAAGCCGGAUUAAUACCGCAUACGAUCUUCGGAUGAAAGCGGGGGACCUUCGGGCCUCGCGCUAUAGGGUUGGCCGAUGGCUGAUUAGCUAGUUGGUGGGGUAAAGGCCUACCAAGGCAAAGAUCAGUAGCUGGUCUGAGAGGAGGACCGGCCACACUGGAACUGAGACACGGACCAGACUCCUACGGGAGGCAGCAGUGGGGAAUUUUGGACAAUGGGCGAAAGCAUGAUACAGCAAUGCCGCGUGUGUGAAGAAGGCCUUCGGGUUGUAAAGCACUUUUGUCCGGAAAGAAAUCCUUGGCCCUAAUACGGUCGGGGGAUGACGGUACCGGAAGAAUAAGCACCGGCUAACUACGUG
RNAcentral lists this ribosomal RNA (486 nucleotides) under uncultured bacterium. RNAcentral describes it as "partial 16S ribosomal RNA". It matches the Rfam family "Bacterial small subunit ribosomal RNA", at positions 30 to 507 of the family's 1533-position model. The record is from RNAcentral.